GACGAACGCUGGCGGCGUGCUUAACACAUGCAAGUCGAGCGAUGAAGUUCCUUCGGGAACGGAUUAGCGGCGGACGGGUGAGUAACACGUGGGUAACCUGCCUCAUAGAGGGGAAUAGCCUUUCGAAAGGAAGAUUAAUACCCCAUAAGAUUGUAGUACCGCAUGGUAUAGCAAUUAAAGUAGUAAUCCGCUAUGAGAUGGACCCGCGUCGCAUUAGCUAGUUGGUGAGGUAACGGCUCACCAAGGCGACGAUGCGUAGCCGACCUGAGAGGGUGAUCGGCCACAUUGGGACUGAGACACGGCCCAGACUCCUACGGGAGGCAGCAGUGGGGAAUAUUGCACAAUGGGGGAAACCCUGAUGCAGCAACGCCGCGUGAGUGAUGACGGUCUUCGGAUUGUAAAACUCUGUCUUCAGGGACGAUAAUGACGGUACCUGAGGAGGAAGCCACGGCUAACUACGUGCCAGUCGCCGCCGUAA
RNAcentral lists this ribosomal RNA (478 nucleotides) under uncultured bacterium. RNAcentral's name for it is "partial 16S ribosomal RNA". It matches the Rfam family "Bacterial small subunit ribosomal RNA", at positions 28 to 523 of the family's 1533-position model. The record is from RNAcentral.